AUUGAACGCUGGCGGCAGGCCUAACACAUGCAAGUCGAGCGGAAACGGCAGUAUUGAAGCUUCGGUGGAUUUACUGGACGUCGAGCGGCGGACGGGUGAGUAACGGCUGGGAACCUGCCCUGACGAGGGGGAUAACCGUUGGAAACGACGGCUAAUACCGCAUAAUGUCUACGGACCAAAGGUGGCCUCUACAUGUAAGCUAUCGCGUUGGGAUGGGCCCAGUUAGGAUUAGCUAGUUGGUAAGGUAAUGGCUUACCAAGGCGACGAUCCUUAGCUGGUUUGAGAGGAUGAUCAGCCACACUGGGACUGAGACACGGCCCAGACUCCUACGGGAGGCAGCAGUGGGGAAUAUUGCACAAUGGGGGAGACCCUGAUGCAGCCAUGCCGCGUGUGUGAAGAAGGCCUUCGGGUUGUAAAGCACUUUCAGCAGUGAGGAAGGUAGUGUACUUAAUACGUGCAUUGCUUGACGUUAGCUGCAGAAGAAGCACCGGCUAACUCCGUGCCAGCAGCCGCGGUAAUACGGAGGGUGCGAGCGUUAAUCGGAAUUACUGGGCGUAAAGCGCAUGCAGGCGGUUUGUUAAGUCAGAUGUGAAAGCCCGGGGCUCAACCUCGGAACCGCAUUUGAAACUGGCAGGCUAGAGUCUUGUAGAGGGGGGUAGAAUUUCAGGUGUAGCGGUGAAAUGCGUAGAGAUCUGAAGGAAUACCAGUGGCGAAGGCGGCCCCCUGGACAAAGACUGACGCUCAGAUGCGAAAGCGUGGGUAGCAAACAGG
Molecule: ribosomal RNA, 771 nt
Filed under: Salinivibrio costicola
Lineage: Bacteria; Pseudomonadati; Pseudomonadota; Gammaproteobacteria; Vibrionales; Vibrionaceae
Description: bacterial SSU rRNA
Rfam family: Bacterial small subunit ribosomal RNA
Source: RNAcentral